UACGUAGGGUGCGAGCGUUGCCCGGAUUUAUUGGGCGUAAAGGGCGCGUAGGCGGUCACGCACGUCCGUUGUGAAAUCGCUCGGCUCAACUGGGCGGGGUCAGCGGAUACGGCGUGGCUGGAGCAAGCUAGGGGGCAAUGGAAUUCCCGGUGUAGUGGUGGAAUGCGUAGAUAUCGGGAGGAACACCAGUGGCGAAGGCGGUUGCCUGGAGCUUUGCUGACGCUGAUGCGCGAAAGCGUGGGGAGCGAACGGG
RNAcentral lists this ribosomal RNA (253 nucleotides) under uncultured bacterium. RNAcentral describes it as "partial 16S ribosomal RNA". It matches the Rfam family "Bacterial small subunit ribosomal RNA", at positions 524 to 776 of the family's 1533-position model. The record is from RNAcentral.